Molecule: ribosomal RNA, 1066 nt
Filed under: uncultured organism
Description: bacterial SSU rRNA
Rfam family: Bacterial small subunit ribosomal RNA
Source: RNAcentral
GGGAUCCCCCACACUGGUACUGAGACACGGACCAGACUCCUACGGGAGGCAGCAGUGAGGAAUAUUGGACAAUGGUCGGAAGACUGAUCCAGCCAUGCCGCGUGCAGGAAGACGGCCCUAUGGGUUGUAAACUGCUUUUCUACAGGAAGAAUGAUACCCUCGUGAGGGUAGUUGACGGUACUGUAGGAAUAAGGACCGGCUAACUCCGUGCCAGCAGCCGCGGUAAUACGGAGGGUCCGAAGCGUUAUCCGGAAUCAUUGGGUUAAAGGGUCCGUAGUGGGGCUCUAAGUCAGAGGUGAAGGUUGCGUCACUGUAGAACGCCUUUGAACUGGAGCUCUGAUCAUGUUGCUGUGGCGGAACUGUGGUGUAGCGGUGACAUGCCUAGAUAUCACAUAGAACACCGAUUGCGAAGGCAGGGUCACAAAACAUGCACUGACACUGAGGGACGAAAGCGUGGGGAGCGAACGGGAUUAGAUACCCCGGUAGUCCACGCUGUAAACGAUGGAUACUAGCUGUUGGACUUCGGUUCGGCGGCCAAGCGAAAGUGAUAAGUAUCCCACCUGGGGAGUACGUUCGCAAGAAUGAAACUCAAAGGAAUUGACGGGGGCCCGCACAAGCGGUGGAGCAUGUGGUUUAAUUCGAUGAUACGCGAGGAACCUUACCAGGGCUUAAAUGGGAGACGACAGGGGGCAGAGACCGCCCUCUUUCUUCGGGAACGUUUUUCAAGGUGCUGCAUGGUUGUCGUCAGCUCGUGCCGUGAGGUGUCANGGUUAAGUCCUAUAACGAGCGCAACCCCUGCCGUUAGUUGCCAGCGAGUAAAGUCGGGGACUCUAACGGGACUGCCGGUGCAAACCGUGAGGAAGGUGGGGACGACGUCAAAUCAUCACGGCCCUUACGUCCUGGGCUACACACGUGCUACAAUGGUCGGUACAAUGGGAAGCUACCCUGUGAGGGGAUGCGGAUCUUAAAAGCCGAUCACAGUUCGGAUCGGGGUCUGCAACUCGACCCCGGAAGCUGGAAUCGCUAGUAAUCGGAUAUCAGCCAUGAUCCGGUGAUACGUUCCCGG